RNAcentral lists this ribosomal RNA (492 nucleotides) under uncultured bacterium. Its description in RNAcentral is "partial 16S ribosomal RNA". It matches the Rfam family "Bacterial small subunit ribosomal RNA", at positions 29 to 507 of the family's 1533-position model. The record is from RNAcentral.
AGUGAACGCUGGCGGUGGGCCUAACACAUGCAAGUCGAACGGCAGCACAGUAAGAGCUUGCUCUUACGGGUGGCGAGUGGCGGACGGGUGAGGAAUACAUCGGAAUCUACUUUUUCGUGGGGGAUAACGUAGGGAAACUUACGCUAAUACCGCAUACGACCUACGGGUGAAAGCAGGGGAUCUUCGGACCUUGCGCGAUUGAAUGAGCCGAUGUCGGAUUAGCUAGUUGGCGGGGUAAAGGCCCACCAAGGCGACGAUCCGUAGCUGGUCUGAGAGGAUGAUCAGCCACACUGGUACUGAGACACGGUCCAGACUCCUACGGGAGGCAGCAGUGGGGAAUAUUGGACAAUGGGCGCAAGCCUGAUCCAGCCAUACCGCGUGGGUGAAGAAGGCCUUCGGGUUGUAAAGCCCUUUUGUUGGGAAAGAAAAGCAGCAGGUUAAUACCCCGCUGUUCUGACGGUACCCAAAGAAUAAGCACCGGCUAACUUCGUG